CCUACGGGAGGCAGCAGUGAGGAAUAUUGGUCAAUGGGCGCGAGCCUGAACCAGCCAAGUAGCGUGAACGAUGACUGCCCUACGGGUUGUAAACUUCUUUUAUAAAGGAAUAAAGUGAGGCACGUGUGCCUUUUUGUAUGUACUUUAUGAAUAAGGAUCGGCUAACUCCGUGCCAGCAGCCGCGGUAAUACGGAGGAUCCGUGCGUUAUCCGGAUAUAUUGGGUUUAAAGGGAGCGUAGAUGGGUUGUUAAGUCAGGUGUGAAAGUUUGCGGCUCAACCGUAAAAUUGCAAUGGAUACUGGCAGCCUUGAGUACAGUUGAGGUAGGCGGAAUUCGUGGUGUAGCGGUGAAAUGCUUAGAUAUAACGAAGAACUCCGAUUGCGAAGGCAGCCUACUAAACUGCCACUGACAUUGAUGCUCGAAAGUGUGGGUAUCAAACAGGAUUAGAUACCCUGGUAGUC
This 460-nucleotide ribosomal RNA is filed under the name uncultured bacterium. RNAcentral describes it as "partial 16S ribosomal RNA". It matches the Rfam family "Bacterial small subunit ribosomal RNA", at positions 338 to 795 of the family's 1533-position model. The record is from RNAcentral.